AUUGAACGCUGGCGGCAGGCUUAACACAUGCAAGUCGAGCGGGGUGAUGGUGCUUGCACUAUCACUUAGCGGCGGACGGGUGAGUAAUGCGUAGGAAGCUGCCCGAUAGAGGGGGAUACCAGUUGGAAACGACUGUUAAUACCGCAUAAUGUCUACGGACCAAAGUGUGGGACCUUCGGGCCACAUGCUAUCGGAUGCGCCUACGUGGGAUUAGCUAGUUGGUGAGGUAAUAGCUCACCAAGGCGACGAUCUCUAGCUGGUUUGAGAGGAUGAUCAGCCACACUGGAACUGAGACACGGUCCAGACUCCUACGGGAGGCAGCAGUGGGGAAUAUUGGACAAUGGGCGCAAGCCUGAUCCAGCCAUGCCGCGUGUGUGAAGAAGGCCUUCGGGUUGUAAAGCACUUUCAGCGAGGAGGAAGGGUGGUGUGUUAAUAGCACAUCAUUUUGACGUUACUCGCAGAAGAAGCACCGGCUAACUCUGUGCCAGCCGCCGCAGUAA
This 500-nucleotide ribosomal RNA is filed under the name uncultured bacterium. RNAcentral describes it as "partial 16S ribosomal RNA". It matches the Rfam family "Bacterial small subunit ribosomal RNA", at positions 30 to 523 of the family's 1533-position model. The record is from RNAcentral.